AUUAACUUUGGACAAAAUGAGCAACAUUUCAGAACAGAUAGGUGGACGGUAAGUACAAAAUCUUGGUAUAUGAGUCAUUUUAUAUCACAGAAAUGGUACAUAUCACAAAACAGUUGUUUUUGCUGAAAAUUCAACCAUGUAGUUAUGACUACUUUUGGAAAAUCUAGGAAAUUAAAUAUUUAGCAAAUGAAAGGUACUUCACCUGAUUUGAUUCUGAUUUGAACUAUUUUUUUUUGGUAUUUGAUUGAAACAAACCAAAAUAUAUGAUCAUUCAUAAUGAAUAAGUCUGUGCAAAAACAUCUUUACCUUUUGUUACACUUGAAUUAAAAAUAAAGACUCAAAACAGUAACCAAUACAGUAAUUUACAGUAUUACUCGGCAAGCAUAAACAACUAAGCUGCUUCACGUUGUGCCUAACAAAAUGUUCUUCCUCAUCUUGACUUGUUUGGGACACGUCCCCCUCUGAAGUUAUUUCAUGUUUCUUCAUCGCUCAUGUGCAGGCUGUACAGUGUGACUGUUUUGCUAGCAUUUGUGAUUAAAAAUUAUAAUAUGUGACAACAAAUUUUACCCCAUUCGCACAUGUGCGAUAAUUGUCAUUUCCACCUACAAAGAGCAUUGCAACAAAGAACAUGUCCCAUGAGUCCGAUGUCUUGCCUUCCUAUUACCAAAUCUUGAACACUCAAAAUUUAGCGGGUUGCCAUGGAUGUGUUGUCAGGGUCCUGGUACACCAUAGUGGGAUACUUUCCUUUAAUAGACUAUUGAGAUUAGUGGUCGAUGGAUAUUGUGCAGUGGUCUCUUCUUAACCCUCGUGCGACCCCACGUACACGUGUGGAUGUUGUAUUUUGGCUUUGCUAUACGCAACACAUAAUUUAAAUUAAUUUAAACUGACUGACCUCAGUUCAGGAGACUCUGUGGUGUCAGUAAAGGGUUAAACUUAUGAUGCACGGAGACAUGUGACAAAACAACAUGGUGCUGACCAUAGCGGAGUUUGUCUUUAGGUGAAACACCACCAAAACUAUAUCUGGUAAGAAACCUAAUUAAGUUUUUACAUUGAAAUUUGUUUGAUUCAAAAGAUUAGAGUCUCUAAAUUCUUCCGAUAUGCCAUGAUUAAAAUUUGAACGAUUUAUCACGAAACGCCAUGCUGCUAAACUCACAUUGAGAAUCAAUGGGUUCAUCCAAAAGCUGAAAAAUUUUGCUUUCAGAGGCUGUAUAUGGAGUUAGGAUGAAAAUAAGGUGCAUUUCGAACUGUUCUGAGACCAGUGCUGACAGACAGCACACUAGAGGUUAAGUCAUUCACUAAAUAGGGAGCAAGGGAGCAUCCUAUAGCUCUCUAUGCAGCUAAGUGCAUUCAAUCCAAACAUGCUAUCAAAAGCUCAGUUUUCAGGCUGCAGAUGAUGUUUGGAUCACUCGACAUGUUUGGCAGACAUGGGACAAUGAUAAUCAGUACAUAGAUUCAGAAUUUAUAAUGUAUAGUUUUAUUUUAUCAUGGUUGGCAGUGAUUGGAUGAUGCUGGACAUUACUUUGUAUCAGAAUUAAUUAUGCAAAUUUCUGAUGUCUGUAACAUCUCAAAAACAUGAAUAACAAACCCUCCUGGAAACAUAAUAAUCAAUUUGAUGAAAAAAAUAAAUAAAUCUGACUUUCUAUUACUUGGUAUUGUUUAAAAUUUAACAACUUCAUCCAGCUGUCCACAUAUGUUGCCAUCAAUUUUUAGGAAAACUAUUUGUUCUAGCAUUUAUUUAUUUAUUUAUUUUUAUGUUUAUUAGGUGCUACUAGUUACAAAUCAAAAAAGGGAAAUGGAAAAUGCAUACAGCAGUCACGCUCGGUCUCAGGAGGUUCAAGCAUUACAAUUAAUAUGUUAAUAAAAUUAUUACAAUUAUUAUUGUGUGGUGGGUUUAAUGCCCAGUCAUGAAAAUUAUGAUUAAGGGUGUUGCAGCACCAUGAUUUAUCUUGUGAAAAUAAAUGUUUAUAUAAAAUCAUUAAAAAUAUGAUACAGUAUUGCAUCUAAACUGUAUUAGUUAACAUUAAAAUAGUAACAUUUAUUUAAAAAAUAACUAUAAUUAUUUUUUUUUUUGACUGCACUCCUCUGUGUGUCAAUACAUUUUAAUUUGUGCAAAUAUUUUUUUUUUUUGUUCACUAACACCAGUGCUAAUACCUAAAAAAGUUAGCAUACAAUCGUAACAUUACGGUACACUUCAAUUAAAAACAAAGAAUCAAAACUCUGAUUGGAUGAGCCACAUUAAAAAAGCCAAUACACACACUCGUGACCACACAUUGGUAAAAUUUUAUAUUAAUAUGGCAAUUUGCAGUGUUGCUUGACAACCGUAAGCAACUAAACUGUUUAGCGUUGUGCUUAACAACAACCCUUAAGUUCUUCCUCUUCUUGACAAGUUUGGGACACGUCCCCUUCUGUAUUUUCACAUUACUCCUUGUUUCAUCAUCACUCUCACAUGUAAAAACGUAAAGCAGUCCUGUCCAUUGAUGGCCAUGUACAUAUAUGUACAGUUUAACCGAUGCACAGCACAGUAUAUUCCAUUUUUUUGUUUUACUCAGCUCUACUUCAAGGUUACCAAAGGCCCCAUUUGGUUUACUGCAAGUUGUAGGAGUUGUCUGGACUUCAGGUUUUGGUAUUCAGUCCAGAUCCCUUUUCCAAAUUGCCACGCCGUGCCAACCAAAAGGUAAUUCUUACCAAACGUCCAGGUGCAGUGUGGAAGGCCAACAGCAUGGCAGCCUAACAGAGAAAGCCACAGGAUAAUGAGUCGGCCUGUCUUUGUUUACGAUCAGCCAACAACGCCAAAAGCAAAAUGUUAAUUAGACCAGCAGUACCCCUAAAGAUAAAUGUGUACAACAGCAUUCAAAACUCCAGCUGUGAUUAGCUCAAAACCGCCCAGUCUUAGGAGGACACUAGUAUUCCAAAUCCACAAAGCCAUUAUUUCUGUAUCGUUGCUUGGAAUGAAUGUACUUAAAACACUUAAUAAUCAAGCAUAUUAGCGAAAACAUCUUGACAUUCAAAGGUUGUCGUUCAGGUCAUGGAAAAAGGCCAUCAUAUUUUCCCAUGCAAGGAAACCAUGAAGCACUCUUAACUAGCUGCUGGUGGCACCAAUCCCAAAACGUCCAAUUUAAAGGGUCAUUUGUGGUCUGCUUUAAAACAACAAACUUUCCUCAAAGCCACGGCCUCUUGGCAGGGUGACCGAUGUUUGGGAAUCUGAAAUACUUUCUCCAGACUUCUAAUCACAUAUUCCAGCCCCCGACCAGUGCACACUCAGUCGUGUAGGGGUGAAUUGUCUUUAAUGUAGUUCUUAUAUUUAUUUUUAUUUUUUCCUCACUGUAAUUGUGGUGCUGAAUCACAGGAGCACUGUGAGGGUUCUUCAAAGACAUCCAUAGAGAAAUGAGUCACUGAUUAAUAAAUAUCAAAUCAAACUCGAAGUCAAACAGUUGAGAUGUCUGUUUUACACGAAUUCACCACAAAAACCUAAAUAGAGAGAUGGGUAAAAACAAAUAAUAGUAAUAUAUAAGUAAACAUUGUUCACCAGAUUUUUAGUGCUUGAUGCACAUGCAACCACUUCAGAGGAAUGGGAUUUAGCAGAAUAACAGGCCUGUUUGAUUAAACUCUGUUUUGAAGAGAAACAGAACGCAACAAUAGGGUUCUGAAAGUAAAACCUGGAUACAUUUUCUCCAUAGAGAAAUAGAUUUUUAGCAAUAACAUAAACUUUUCAAUACAAUGAACUCCGAGCUUAAGUGAUGGUAUAUGCUUCUGUAGAUACCACAAUUCAGUGUGAUUUCAACUAGUUAAGCUCAAUCUACAGCAUUUGUUGCAUAAUGUUGAAUACUCCAUAAAUGAUUUAGACUUUUCCUUCGUUUAUUUAAAAAUCGUGGUUAAAGGGGUCAUGAAGUGGAGAAUCGAAUUUUCCUUGAUAUUAAAACAUAUAAGAGGUAACUAUAAAAGAACAUUUAUAGUUACCACCCUACUAAAACAUCUCGUUUUGAAAUCUGUGUGUUAAUAACGUCAUUUGCAUGGACAUGGCCCACAACAUGCAACAUAGUUGUGGGUGUACUGUUAAGGAGAGAACAGGUUACUGCUGUGAGGUGAGAAGUUUCUUUUAUUGAAAGAUGCAGCAGUGCCAACUGUAUUGCACACUGCACUAAUGCUGGUAAGUAAACCAUUUAUUUCUAAUCUUUCAUUUAUCUGUGUGUUUGUAAUAAGCAGUAAGCCAUCGUUUAUCACUAAGAGGUCUGCAACCCAACCCGGGCCCGACGGGACCCGAGAACCCAUCAGGUUUCGGGCUGGGUUGGGGUCAGUUUUUCAAGUAGGACUUUGGGUUCGGGUUUUUCAUUGAUGAAAAAAUUAACAGGCCCUACUGAACUUGUUCCGCGCUCUCACUCACAGCAUGUGCGAACGGAUGAGUUAGGGGCCGUUCACAUCGAAUGUGUUUUUGUGUGCAUCUGCUCUGCUCAUCAUCGUAUCAUUGUUUUCCUAUUUAAACACACGCUGGACGAAUCUCUUUGACUGUUGCAUCGCGUCUCACUGUUUCUUUAGCAUCUCGUGCAGGAUCGGCACAUUUUUAGAUACCGUGCCAAGUUAAAAAGAACUACAAGUCUCAAAAAUGCUUGUCGAGGCACCUACGCUCUGUUUCAUUCAUUGCGCUGCGUCUAGAUUGUUUUUAGCGCAGGUGUCGCAAAGAUUCAACAUCCUGAAAAAGUUCAGGCUGCAAAGAGGUGACUGUUACAUUGUUUAACAUUAUUCCAGAUUGUUCUGCACCAACAAAAUUUCAGUGCUUGAUAAACGGUAAGCCAAUUUUUUCCCUCUUCUGCUCUAGUGUACUGAGGGACUGCCGUGCCUUAUGAAAACUAUGUUUGCAGUUACAAUACUGUUAUGAAUGUUGUCUACAAUGCUAACAUAAAAUACAGCCUAUUGCAACAGUACUUGCUAGGAGAAGGAAUAAUAAAGACAGUGAUGGAUUACGGGUUUGGGCUUAAAAUCACAGCUGCUUACCAAAUCAAUACAUAAAUGGAUAAAUAAUAUUUGUUUGAGUUGAAUAGUUGUAUUAUGUGUGAAGAAAGUGAAAUUAAAUAUAUUAUGGUGUUGUAGCUAAUAUACUAAUAUACACGGCGGGGGGCGUGGAAACGAUUUUUCGAUGCAGUGACAUUAGCUAAUCAGAACAGUGGGUUGUCAUGGUCCUGUCACUCUGUCAGUCUGGGUUUUGGUCUGACAGGACCGUGGCAUCAUCGUCCCACGUCUGUCUUGUGUUUCGUUGUUGGUCUUUGUGUGAGCGUGUGGCUUCAGUUGUAUUCCCUGCCGUGCGCUCUUCGGUCCGUCUUGUUUCAUGUCAGGAGCACAGUGUCUGGAUCCUGACUUCCUGUCUGGUUCGGUUUCGGUCUGUGUCAGGAUCCGGACACUCGUGCUCCAUGUCUGUAUGUUAUUGACGUGGGUGCAUCGUGCUUAUGUCAUCUUGGCAGCAGGCACUCGUGUCAGUAGUUUGUCUGGCUCUUGCGAUUGCAUUGCGCGCCCGAGUCGCAAGCUGUCUUCGAUCUAAGGUGUCAGGUGUCUGUGUGUGUGUGUGUGUGUGUGGCCGAACUCUUGCACAGGUGUCUUGUCUUGUUUUUAUCACCUGUUGCGUGCAUUGCGUGGUGUUUGCGUCACGAUGUAUGCUCAGGUUUCGUUUAGUGUGAGAAUGCGUGGCAUCGCUUUGUUUGCCGUUGCUACGCAAUCUAUUGUCUUGUUUGUUGGUUGGCAUGGGCGUAUAUCACCUUAUUCUCUUGGCGAUGAGCGCUCAUGCCAUUCAGGUGUUUUGUUGUCUUGUGAGAGCACAUCGCUUUGUUUUGUUUCUGUAUCACUGCGUGUCUCUCUGUCUUAUGUCAUACCCCGCCUCCUUGUUUGCUUAUUAUUAGUUCAUUUGCCUCACCUGUCCCCUGUUAACCCGUUUAUUUCCCCGUUUAUUAACCCGUUAAUUUCUCUCCCUAUUUUAGUCUCCUCGUGUUUGUUGUCCAGUUCGUCUUGUUUCCAGUUUUGUGUGUUCAGUCUUCCCUGUCGGUCCUGUUUCCAUCAUCUGGUUUCUGUUUCGGUCCAGUCAGUCCUGUUCCCCCAUCCCCCCCCCCCCCCCUUUUUUUCAACUUUGCGUUUGGGUUCUGCAAUCUCGUGACAAUAUAGUGUCAAAUGUCCGAUUAAUCCCGAUUAUCUACAAAAAAAUAAAUAAUGCGAUUAAUAGUGAUUACAAAUUUUAAUCAACUGACAGCACUAAUUUUAAUGUUUAUUGAUUGGCCCCAUUCACUUCCAUUGUAAGUGCCUUACUGUAACCAUGAUUUUUGCUUUGAGUCAAGUGAGGAAUAAGUCAAAAUAAUUUUUUUGUAGUAAUCAACAUUAUGCCACAAAUGCUGUAGAUUGGGCUUAACUUGUAAAAGUAAACAGUCUUGCACCCUUUUCAAUUUAUUUAUUUAUUUAUUCAUUUAUUUAUUUUUAUAAUUAAAGCAAAGGGCUCUUUAACAAUUUUUUGAAAAACCUAUGGAGAAACAAUGGAAAUUUUCACAAACCGGGUGACCAAUACUUUCCAGUCCAUUUUGCAGGUGACAAAAAAGACAGUUGACAAACAAAAGUGAGGCUGAACUUUCCCCACUUAUAUAAACGUGUCUGGCCUUUGACCCCUGGAACAUAUCCCCUCAGGACAGGUUUAAACCCUUACAGGUUGACCUUUGGUUUUUGCAUUCAAACCAGAACCACCUUUAACACAUAAGUCCCCCCACACCCCUUCACAAUGUCUCAACGAGUUUCCCAUUGCUGCUCCUGCUUGCAGUUCACUUGACCUAACAAUGUAAGACUUAGUAAGCAUGUUAUUACCAUGUUAAAUGCUGUCGUGAGGAGUGCUAAUUACCUACUGUUUGACAAAGCUAGGGGGGCUGUGUAUUUUUCGGUGUGUUGCUGUGCACACACACACAUUUGGUAAAUUCCAUAAUGGCCAUGUUCUGAUGCAAGACAAUGGUUGUUAAGACACCUAAUGAGAUUAGACACUCAAACAGACUGUCAUCUGCCCAUCUUUCUCAAAACCCGUCUCUCAGGGCAAGCACUUUUUCAUACUUUUGCUUCCGGUAGGCCAUUCCUCCCAUUACCUUGUACACCUCCCCCAAAACACACACACAGCUUGUCCUUUUCCACACCCUUGUUUCCAGUGGCCACUCCUCUGCCAUUAGAAAUAGGGAUUGGAGUUGGAUGUUCCUACAGGCUAUGGGGUGAGCGGAAACCAAGUGCUCUGUCAUUAAAGCAUGGCAGACGCUGCUUAACAUUUUACAUUCUCCCAUCAAUGAGCCAUUAAACCAGAGAGCUACAUAUCUGUAUGGACCCAUGAAGAGAAAUCACUUGAGUACUUGUGGAAUGCUUUAUAUAACUGUACAUGCGUGUAGAAACAAGUUUAAAAAAUAGUAUAGGACAAAAGAUGGUAUCAUAUAUCCUAAAGAAUACAGGAAUAUUUGUGCAUAGUUAAGUCAGGGUCACACUGAUUUUUCCUCAAAUUUUCAAUCGCAAGCUUCAUUUACAUAAUCAUUGGCCAGGCAGAGGGAGUCAUAGCACACAUCUUAUCCAGUCUGAGUCUGAUUUUUUGCAAUUACUGGGAGGGGUUAUCAUCAGUCCAGAUGAAAACGAGACUGCUACGAUUGACACUUUCAAGGAAUUGCUGGAUUUGGCAGAGUUUUUUUUUUUUUUUUUUUUUUUUAAGCAAGGAAAUGAGAUAUCCUUGAACAUACCUGGAUAUUCAACUACAGAGCCGAGGAGGGCCGGGCUGGAAUGACGCACGCCUGGUCCCCAAUCAGCCUGAUGGGGCACACGAGGGAUAAAGGCGGCCGGGGACGACAGUUCGAGAGAGAGAGAAUUACAGGCAGCUGCCCUGUGUGUGUUUAUGGUUGUGUGUUUUUGGUUAAGUUGUUCAUUAAAUUAUUAUUUAAGUUGUCAA
Myxocyprinus asiaticus (Chinese sucker) is the source of this 7933-nucleotide long non-coding RNA. RefSeq lists it as uncharacterized. The record is from RefSeq and is a predicted model, not a curated record. NCBI's taxonomy places the organism in Eukaryota, Metazoa, Chordata, Actinopteri, Cypriniformes, Catostomidae. The transcript has 2 exons.